Molecule: ribosomal RNA, 446 nt
Filed under: uncultured bacterium
Lineage: Bacteria
Description: partial 16S ribosomal RNA
Rfam family: Bacterial small subunit ribosomal RNA
Source: RNAcentral
CCUACGGGGCGCAGCAGUCGAGAAUCAUUCACAAUGGGGGAAACCCUGAUGGUGCGACGCCGCGUGGGGGAAUGAAGGUCUUCGGAUUGUAAACCCCUGUCAUGUGGGAGCAAAUUAAAAAGAUAGUACCACAAGAGGAAGAGACGGCUAACUCUGUGCCAGCAGCCGCGGUAAUACAGAGGUCUCAAGCGUUGUUCGGAAUCACUGGGCGUAAAGCGUGCGUAGGCUGUGUCGUAAGUCGUGUGUGAAAGGCGCGGGCUCAACCCGCGGACGGCACAUGAUACUGCGAGACUAGAGUAAGGGAGGGGGAACCGGAAUUCUCGGUGUAGCAGUGAAAUGCGUAGAUAUCGAGAGGAACACUCGUGGCGAAGGCGGGUUCCUGGACAUUAACUGACGCUGAGGCACGAAGGCCAGGGGAGCGAAAGGGAUUAGAUACCCUAGUAGUC